UCCGGAAGGGGCAAGCGUUGUUCGGAAUCAUUGGGCGUAAAGGGCGCGUAGGUGGUUCUGUAUGUCUACCGUGAAAGCGUACGGCUCAACCGUAUUUUGUCGGUAGAAACUGCAGGACUUGAGGCUGGGAGGGGCUGGUGGAAUUCCCGGUGUAGCGAUGAAAUGCGUAGAGAUGGGGGAGAACACUCGUGGCGAAGGCGGCCAGCUAGACCAGUUCUGACACUGAGGCGCGAAAGCGUGGGGAGCAAACAGG
RNAcentral lists this ribosomal RNA (253 nucleotides) under uncultured bacterium. Its description in RNAcentral is "partial 16S ribosomal RNA". It matches the Rfam family "Bacterial small subunit ribosomal RNA", at positions 524 to 776 of the family's 1533-position model. The record is from RNAcentral.